GUCUUGGUAGCUUAAGCUAAAGCAUUGGUCUUGUAAACCAAAGAAUGUAAACUUGUAUUUUACCCAGGACU
Molecule: transfer RNA, 71 nt
Filed under: Polypedates megacephalus (Hong Kong whipping frog)
Lineage: Eukaryota; Metazoa; Chordata; Amphibia; Anura; Rhacophoridae
Description: tRNA-Thr
Rfam family: tRNA
About the family: Transfer RNA (tRNA) molecules are approximately 80 nucleotides in length.
Source: RNAcentral